CGCCUUGAGAAGUUUAAUAAUUUGAGGUCGGGCCUGCCCGGUGGUCGACAGACUAAACGGUCGCAGUUAGGAGCUGUGAUAAUGUAGCGUAAUAAGUUGUCCUUUAAUUGGGGAAUGGAAUGAAUGGUUUGACGUGAUUUUAGCUGUGUCAGCGAUAUAUCAUGAAUUUUACUUUUAAGUGAAAAGGCUUAAAUGAGUUUAAUAGACGAGAAGACCCCGUCGAGCUUGAUGAGGGGUAUGGAGUGGUGUCCUUAUCCUAAAGUUUUGCUGGGAGAGCAUAGAGCUAAAAUGAAUGCUCUACUAUAUAGAAGGAGAUCCAGUAGGAUUGAUAAGGUGAGUAAGUUACCGCGGGGAUAACAGCGCGAUACCUUUUUAGAGAACGUAUUGGGGGAGGUGUUUGCGACCUCGAUGUUGGAUUAGAGUGUCUCCUUGGCGCAGAAGCUGGGGUAGUGGGACUGUUCGUCCUUUGAAACUUUACA
Molecule: ribosomal RNA, 479 nt
Filed under: Joannisiella cumingii
Lineage: Eukaryota; Metazoa; Mollusca; Bivalvia; Lucinida; Ungulinidae
Description: Cycladicama cumingii partial 16S ribosomal RNA
Rfam family: Bacterial large subunit ribosomal RNA
Source: RNAcentral